AUUGAACGCUGGCGGAAUGCUUUACACAUGCAAGUCGAACGGCAGCACGGGUGCUUGCACCUGGUGGCGAGUGGCGAACGGGUGAGUAAUGCACCGGAACGUAUCCAAUAAUGGGGGAUAACGCACCGAAAGGUGUGCUAAUACCGCAUACGCCCUGAGGGGGAAAGCGGGGGGAUCGUAAGACCUCGCGUUAAUGGAGCGGCCGAUGCCGGAUUAGCUAGUUGGUGAGGUAAAGGCUCACCAAGGCGACGAUCCGUAGCUGGUCCUGAGAGGACGACAGCCACACGUAGGAACUGAGAC
Molecule: ribosomal RNA, 300 nt
Filed under: uncultured bacterium
Lineage: Bacteria
Description: bacterial SSU rRNA
Rfam family: Bacterial small subunit ribosomal RNA
Source: RNAcentral